GAUGAACGCUGGCGGCGUGCUUAACACAUGCAAGUCGAACGAUGAAGCCCAGCUUGCUGGGUGGAUUAGUGGCGAACGGGUGAGUAACACGUGAGUAACCUGCCUUUAACUCUGGGAUAAGCCUGGGAAACUGGGUCUAAUACCGGAUAGGAGCGUCCACCGCAUGGUGGGUGUUGGAAAGAUUUAUCGGUUUUGGAUGGACUCGCGGCCUAUCAGCUUGUUGGUGAGGUAAUGGCUCACCAAGGCGACGACGGGUAGCCGGCCUGAGAGGGUGACCGGCCACACUGGGACUGAGACACGGCCCAGACUCCUACGGGAGGCAGCAGUGGGGAAUAUUGCACAAUGGGCGCAAGCCUGAUGCAGCGACGCCGCGUGAGGGAUGACGGCCUUCGGGUUGUAAACCUCUUUCAGUAGGGAAGAAGCGAAAGUGACGGUACCUGCAGAAGAAGCACCGGCUAACUACGUG
Molecule: ribosomal RNA, 466 nt
Filed under: uncultured bacterium
Lineage: Bacteria
Description: partial 16S ribosomal RNA
Rfam family: Bacterial small subunit ribosomal RNA
Source: RNAcentral